AAAACAACACCAAAAUCACUUGUUAGUACUUCUAAAAUACUCUCCAAGAUAGCAAAAUCAUGAAAUUAAUGGUAUAAUAGAAUGAGUGUAAAUCACUCAUCACCUUC
RNAcentral lists this small RNA (107 nucleotides) under Olea europaea subsp. europaea. Lineage: Eukaryota; Viridiplantae; Streptophyta; Magnoliopsida; Lamiales; Oleaceae. The record is from RNAcentral.